Molecule: long non-coding RNA, 1445 nt
Organism: Lotus japonicus
Lineage: Eukaryota; Viridiplantae; Streptophyta; Magnoliopsida; Fabales; Fabaceae
Exons: 5
Source: RefSeq, a predicted model, not a curated record
UUUGUUGUUUCAUGGUACAGUUAUGUGGCAAAGAAGUACUACCCUGCUCAAUACCUUUCGAAAUUUUCUGGAAAAGAUGACAAAUUAGUAGCAAAUGAUGGUCAAGGGAAGGGUGGUUGUGGUAGGGGUUGAUGGUGGAACGGUGGUGGGAGAGGUGGGAGGAAGAGAGGGGCGGGGGAAGGGUGGUUGUGGUGGUGGUGGAGGAGAGGAAGAAGGUGGUGGGCUUGGGAGAAGGGAGAAGGACCAAAGUGAUAGGGAUAUUGGAGAGAUAAUAUUGACUUUUCAACUAGGGAUUAAAUUGAAAGUUGAAAGAUUUUCCAAUUGGCAUAUAACUUGCCAACUCAGCUUCUUCUGUUAACUUUUAUUAUGUUUUUAACGUCGGGACUAAAUUGACCGACGUUUACCACUUUCAGGGACUGUGGAAUUGAUUUUUAAAGUUUAGGGACCAACUUGACAUCGCUUGACACUUUCAGGGACCAACUUGGCUAUUUACCCCAUCCAAAAUUCUUUCCGCAUCUCGAGAAAGUUGAAGUUCUGAGACAGACUGAAACGACUCGUUUUAGUGUUAUGAUGGGUUUAAGUUUUAUUGUUAAUUAUUCAUAUCAUUAUUAGAUAUAAGAAAAAAAAAAAAUACUAAAACUAACCUAGAGAAAGAAUAAAACCCACGCAGCCUCAAUACCCAUUAACAGAACGCAUCCCUCACCCUCUCUUUCUCUCUCGAGAUUUUUUUCUUUUACUUUGCCUCUGAAUAGAAGCCAGCGGCGACACCUCUCUUCCAUUCUAUAUGUUUUCUUCCUUCUUCAUUAGAAACAAAACCAAUUGCCACCAUGAUAGAUACGCACUCAUGAAGAAAAGAUUUGGGUAUUCAAGUUGAAAGGCUUCCAACAAAAUAUUUAGGAGUUAGGGUUUAUGCUCCAAAGAAAAGAGGAAGAUCAAGGAAGCAAUUGAACGAGAGUGGAGUUCCCUGUGAUUGGUGUGAAACCAUGGCUCUUUGGAAUGACUAGUUUGCAACUGGAUAUGUGCUGCCCAAAACGUUUUGACAGAGGAAAAGAAACAAGUCAGCUAUAGAGGAUACACGAGAGAUGCAAAAUGGCUUGAUUUGGUUUUGGUUGUCCAAGGAGUUGCUAGCUGCUGGCUAUUCAAGUAUCUUGGAGACAUUGGAAGCAAUCAUUCUAACUCCUUAUAGUUAUUCACAGGCAACUAAGUAGUAAGCUGGUGGUAUCAGAUUCAUCAGAUCGUUCAAUUUAUCUUAUUGGCAGGCCUCCUUUGGUUGGUGGCUCGGUUGAUGUCUUUUAUUUGAUAGUUAUCUGCAGCUAUAGGGAGUCUUAGAAGGAUUUGGAUUUAAGAUUGUUAUUUAUUGUUUUAUUGUAAAAGUUGCUCUUGAGUGCAAAAAUUGGUAAUUUCCUUUUAAUGAAAGUAUGAAAAUGGAGAUCAUUAUUUGACAA